Molecule: long non-coding RNA, 2349 nt
Organism: Stomoxys calcitrans (stable fly)
Lineage: Eukaryota; Metazoa; Arthropoda; Insecta; Diptera; Muscidae
Exons: 6
Source: RefSeq, a predicted model, not a curated record
CUUGAUCAAAUUAACUUCAUAUCAAUAAAGCGGACGGACGGAAAAAAAUAUGCUGAAUAAGCAAUUAAUUAAAGAUGCUGCACCGACAUCAAACUCGCAUCGGCCGCUCCGCUUGAGAGCACUGACCAUACCAGACGUGGACCAGCGACAUAAUGUGCCCAGGGCAGAUGAACUGGUAAGUGUCAAAUAAAUAAUACGCCACGGCGUAUUCUUUUUUACUCCUCUCAGUCACUACUUGCACUCACCACGGCAUCCCUCGCUCCAUGUCCAAGAUGCCAUAGUGAUAGAAAGACGGGUCACCCAUUGCGAGGUUGAUAUGAGGCUCUACCGUGGUUGAGUGAUAUCCUGGGGUCGGCAUCGAGAGAUGACAAUCUCUCGUCCGGACAAAACGCCUUCCGCCGCAACUCGCGCUCCAUGUCCAAGAUGCCAUAGUGAUAGAAAGACGGGUCACACAUUGCGAGGUUCACAGCGAGCUCUCCGGCGGUCGAGGUACCCCAGAUAGGCAGAGAGAAAUGGCACUACCCCGUUCUAACCCCUGUGCACAUUACACCACUGGAACACUCCUGGCGGCCCCGCACUCGCGGCUGCGUAAGACCACGAGUUUCGUCGCUCUCAGUCCCCGACGGAUAACUCAGGUAAGUCGAACGGUAAGUAUAAAGUCCCAAACCUCUAGGUAUAUAUAAUCAUCCUACACACACACAUUCUUCACCGCUUGCCGACGAUGGGAUAUUCAUUGCAAGACGACUCUUAUGGAAGCAAUUUAAAACAGCUGCAAAUAAACGGCUUAGCAUACAUAGCAGCUCAAGGCAACAAAAACAACUUCAAGACUGGAUCCAAAAAUUAUGUGUCUCCUAAAACUAAAGCUAAGUAUCCAUUACUAUAAAUUCAAAAGAUAAUCCAAAUCCUAAUUCAUUUUUCUCUUAUCCUAUAGCUUCUUACACUACUGGCUAAUACCUAUGGACCUUGGGCCCAUGUGAUGGAAUCCAACUUAUAGCUAAAACGAAAAAACACGCACAUAAAUCCUACAGUUUAAACUGAUAUGCUAUGCCUAAAUACAAGGAAAGGAAUGUGAAUGGUGUAAUUUACAAACAGGUUACGUUCCGCUAACAUUAAUAAAACAAAAGGUAAUAAUGGGAUUGAAUUUGCCCCCUUAACGAGAAACCAAAGGUCACUGAAGGACAUCUAUAACAACAAGAAGGAAAACGGACGGACAGAAACGUCGCAAACGACCAUCAGAACUUGGAUCCCGUUAAGCCGUGACUUACGCCUCCUUCAUGGAUUAGAAAAAUACACUGCUACAAUUGUAUCCAUGUAAGUUUCAUGAAUUCCUCCAUGAGACUCACGGCUUCAGCUUCCAAUAACCCAUCACCGGGGCUUACGUGGGCGGAAAAUAUGAAACAAACAUGAAACGAUUGAAACUAUAAUGACGUGGUAAGCCUGAUCUCUCAGGCCCCACGUUGGGCGCCAUUUUCUUUGUCACGUACCCCCAUAGGAGGUCGCUCCACCUUUUCUCUGAAGUGGCAAUUGAUGCUGGCGGGCGCUGGCUGCUGGCGGUUGAGCUCCGGGUGUGGCUCAGUGGAUGGGGCGCGGUUCUUUGCCAACACCUAUUGCCAAAAAGGAGGGACAAAAAAAACUAAAAUCAACCAGCUUGUGGAUGGACAAAUACAGCGGGUUCCUGGUUCUAAUGGCGACUGUUCCGGAUUAAUGCCAAUGAAGUCCCCGGUUAUUGUGAUCCUGGUGGCAGCCUCUGCGGCUGCCAGAUACAGAUGCAACUGCUAAAAGCAAUAAUAAAGGAAACCGUGUAGCAUACAACGGCCAAUUUCAAUUUCUUGAAAAGCCAGUACAUGUUGAUCAAGUCAAUGAGCAGACAAGUUGGCAUUGGCACGCUUAUUCGGCUCGGCCUUAUUGCUCGUCGGUGGGUAUGGGAUCUUGCCAUUGUCAAGCUCGAAAACGCUACCAUAAAACUUUAAAAAGAAUUGUCUAUAAAGCGUGCAAGUUAAGCUAAGAUGGGGACGAAAUAGUAACGCAAGAAGUAGAAAAGAGAAAGAAGAAAGUCGAUUUCGCAGAGCCUAUUGUAUUCAGGUUAUAGUUGUAACAACCUGAAAAGUCUAUGCCCACCCAUCCAUGUUACCUGGUAUCCACCAAUAUAUCCCUGGUAACCCAUAACCAAAACCUCCCCUCUACGCUACUGCGGUGCCUUCAGGAAUCAAACAUAAAGAAAUUGCUUACCACAUAUCUAUCGAUUUCAUGAUUUUAUUCGACAUUGUAACCGAUAUUAAUUCAAAAACAAACAUAUUCAUUUUAAAUUCACAAACAUUUUUUUUUUAAACCCUUAUAUAUAUAUAUAUA